GCGUCCAUAGCUCAGAUGGUAGAGCACCUGCCUUUUAAGCAGAGGGUCGCAGGUUCGAUUCCUGCUGGACGCA
This 73-nucleotide transfer RNA is filed under the name Candidatus Vogelbacteria bacterium. RNAcentral describes it as "tRNA-Lys". It matches the Rfam family "tRNA". Rfam says of the family: Transfer RNA (tRNA) molecules are approximately 80 nucleotides in length. Their secondary structure includes four short double-helical elements and three loops (D, anti-codon, and T loops). Lineage: Bacteria; Candidatus Vogeliibacteriota. The record is from RNAcentral.